GAGGCUUUGUACAAGAACAAGAGUGAAAGGAAAAACAAACCACGAUGGCUAAAUUCAUUUGUUCAUUUCUUCUCAUGAUUAUUUUUACUUCAGUGAUCCAAGAUGCCUAUGCCGGUGGAGAAGGUUCUCUUCGUUCUGAAUAAUGUGCGGGUGCAUGUGAUUAUCGUUGUUCAGCAACUAUGUACAAGAAGGCAUGUCUAACCUAUUGCAACAUUUGUUGUGCAAAAUGUUUAUGUAUUCCAUCCGGAACAUAUGGUAAUAAGGAAGAAUGUCCAUGAUACAAUAAUUGGCAAACUAAGAGAGGAACACCCAAGUGUCCCUAGUUUUUGUAUUGUUCAUGCAUAUACAAGUCUCUUUCAAACCAUUUUUGUGUUUUUUGAUUAUUAAUAAAAAUAAUAUGUGUAUGUUGAAGUUAA
Lathyrus oleraceus (garden pea) is the source of this 416-nucleotide long non-coding RNA. RefSeq lists it as uncharacterized. The record is from RefSeq and is a predicted model, not a curated record. The transcript is spliced from 3 exons. Lineage: Eukaryota; Viridiplantae; Streptophyta; Magnoliopsida; Fabales; Fabaceae.